RNAcentral lists this small RNA (452 nucleotides) under Drosophila pseudoobscura pseudoobscura. RNAcentral's name for it is "GA31931". Lineage: Eukaryota; Metazoa; Arthropoda; Insecta; Diptera; Drosophilidae. The record is from RNAcentral.
CAAAAAAAUAAAAUAUUAAAAAUUCUAAAUUUCUAGGAAUAUUUAUUUCGGUUUUUUUCAAUUAGGUUUAAGCAUAAAGUGAUUAUUUUUUUUAUAAAAAAACCAAAAAGUGAAAAAAAAAAUAAAAAACCAAAAAGUGAAAAAAAAAAUAAAAAACCACAAUUUAUACCAUUUGAAACAUUUCAUCACAACGGUGCUCAGGGUCAGCGAGGUAUACGUAUACGUUUUCGAACACAGUGCAGCAGAUAUCACCACACGGCUGAUACACGGCUCGACAAUCGUCUGGGCAGGACACUACGUUUCCCAGGGAGUGACACGGAUGCCACAAGAUAUGUGGUCGAAAAACCAAAAAAUUGAAAUCGAAAAACAAACGCAAACAACAAUUUGGAACUCUGAAAUAUUUACUCUAUAUUUUGAUACUAAAAAUGAUUAUAUUUUGAUACUAAAAAUGA